Molecule: ribosomal RNA, 468 nt
Filed under: uncultured bacterium
Lineage: Bacteria
Description: partial 16S ribosomal RNA
Rfam family: Bacterial small subunit ribosomal RNA
Source: RNAcentral
GACGAACGCUGGCGGCGUGCUUAACACAUGCAAGUCGAACGGAAAGGCCCUGCUUUUGUGGGGUGCUCGAGUGGCGAACGGGUGAGUAACACGUGAGUAACCUGCCCUUGACUUUGGGAUAACUUCAGGAAACUGGGGCUAAUACCGGAUAGGAGCUCCUGCUGCAUGGUGGGGGUUGGAAAGUUUCGACGGUUGGGGAUGGACUCGCGGCUUAUCAGCUUGUUGGUGGGGUAGUGGCUUACCAAGGCUUUGACGGGUAGCCGGCCUGAGGGGGUGACCGGCCACAUUGGGACUGAGAUACGGCCCAGACUCCUACGGGAGGCAGCAGUGGGGAAUAUUGCACAAUGGGCGGAAGCCUGAUGCAGCAACGCCGCGUGCGGGAUGACGGCCUUCGGGUUGUAAACCGCUUUCGCCUGUGACGAAGCGUGAGUGACGGUAAUGGGUAAAGAAGCACCGGCUAACUACGUG